RNAcentral lists this microRNA (23 nucleotides) under Macaca mulatta (Rhesus monkey). Its description in RNAcentral is "mml-miR-600". Its record names the gene mml-miR-600. The record is from miRBase by way of RNAcentral. Lineage: Eukaryota; Metazoa; Chordata; Mammalia; Primates; Cercopithecidae. RNAcentral also lists the same sequence under 1 other name.
AGUUACAGACAAGAGCCUUGCUC